Molecule: long non-coding RNA, 379 nt
Organism: Carassius gibelio (silver crucian carp)
Lineage: Eukaryota; Metazoa; Chordata; Actinopteri; Cypriniformes; Cyprinidae
Exons: 4
Source: RefSeq, a predicted model, not a curated record
AGGAAGUCACUUCUAUGGGAUGGAUGGACUUGCAGUCAUUUAAAGUAACAUCUGUGGUGUUCUUCACACGAACACAGUUCCUGAGCUCACCUGAGAUAUUAGAGGACUUUUCAGCCGGACACCCCACAGGCACAGUUUUAAUACCAAAGGUCUCAUUGGAGCAUGUGUACUCAUGACAGUCCAUGGUCCAUGUAUCGCCAGGCUGCAGGAGGAAAAACAAGUAGAUGAUGGUAAUCCAUCAGGGCCGAUGCAAUCUACAUGGAGGGAAUGAAAAAUAAAUCAGUGGAAAUAAGACGUGAAUGUGCAUUUAACAGAGAAAAUAAGGAACAACAAAUAAAGAAAGUCAAACACGUGUGGAACACUUAAGGGUAAGUAAAUG